RNAcentral lists this transfer RNA (76 nucleotides) under Candidatus Gastranaerophilales bacterium. Its description in RNAcentral is "tRNA-Ala". It matches the Rfam family "tRNA". Rfam says of the family: Transfer RNA (tRNA) molecules are approximately 80 nucleotides in length. Their secondary structure includes four short double-helical elements and three loops (D, anti-codon, and T loops). Lineage: Bacteria; Bacillati; Candidatus Melainabacteria; Candidatus Gastranaerophilales. The record is from RNAcentral.
GGGGUCAUAGCUCAGCUGGGAGAGCGCUUGAAUGGCAUUCAAGAGGUCGGGGGUUCGAGUCCCCUUGGCUCCACCA